RNAcentral lists this ribosomal RNA (439 nucleotides) under uncultured bacterium. RNAcentral describes it as "partial 16S ribosomal RNA". It matches the Rfam family "Bacterial small subunit ribosomal RNA", at positions 339 to 795 of the family's 1533-position model. The record is from RNAcentral.
CUACGGGUCGCUCCAGUGAGGAAUAUUGCACAAUGGGGGGAACCCUGAUGCAGCAACGCCGCGUGGAGGAUGACGCAUUUCGGUGUGUAAACUCCUUUUAUAUGUCAAGAAAAUGACGGCAGCAUAUGAAUAAGCACCGGCUAACUCCGUGCCAGCAGCCGCGGUAAUACGGAGGGUGCAAGCGUUACUCGGAAUCACUGGGCGUAAAGGACGCGUAGGCGGGUUGGAAAGUCAGGUGUGAAAUCCUACAGCUUAACUGCAGAACUGCACUUGAAACUUCUAAUCUAGAGUAUGGGAGGGGGAGAUGGAAUUAGUGGUGUAGGGGUAAAAUCCGUAGAUAUCACUAGGAAUACCUAAAGCGAAGGCGAUCUCCUGGAACAUUACUGACGCUAAGGCGUGAAAGCGUGGGGAGCAAACAGGAUUAGAUACCCCGGUAGUC